UACGAAGGGGGCUAGCGUUGUUCGGAUUCACUGGGCGUAAAGCGCACGUAGGCGGGUUGUUAAGUCAGGGGUGAAAUCCCAGAGCUCAACUCUGGAACUGCCUUUGAUACUGUCGAUCUGGAGUAUGGAAGAGGUGAGUGGAAUUCCGAGUGUAGAGGUGAAAUUCGUAGAUAUUCGGAGGAACACCAGUGGCGAAGGCGGCUCACUGGUCCAUUACUGACGCUGAGGUGCGAAAGCGUGGGGAGCAAACAGG
This 253-nucleotide ribosomal RNA is filed under the name uncultured bacterium. RNAcentral describes it as "partial 16S ribosomal RNA". It matches the Rfam family "Bacterial small subunit ribosomal RNA", at positions 524 to 776 of the family's 1533-position model. The record is from RNAcentral.